Long non-coding RNA from Cyprinus carpio carpio, 947 nucleotides. The record is from Ensembl. NCBI's taxonomy places the organism in Eukaryota, Metazoa, Chordata, Actinopteri, Cypriniformes, Cyprinidae.
ACCAUAUAUAACACACCAGCAACCAUCUAGAUGGCUGCUAUGGUGUUCUAUGUAGUUGCUAGACUAGGUUCAGCUGGGGUGUUCUAGGUGGCUGCUAGGGUAUUGCCAUAUGGUUGCUAGGGCGUUCUAGGUGGUUGCUGUGGAAUUGCUAGAUGCUAGGGUGUUAUAUGCGGUUGCUAGGGUAUUGCUAGAUGGUUGCUAAGGUGUACUUGGUGGUUUCUAAGGACUUGCCAAGUGGUUGCUAGGUUAUUGCUAGACGGUUGCUAAGGUGUUUUAGGUGGUUGCUAAGGAAUUGCUAGAUAGUUGUUAGGGUGUUCUAAGUGGUUGCAAGAAAAUUGCUGGAUGGAUAAUAGCGUGUUAUAUGAGGUUGCUAGGGUAUUGCUAGAUGGUUGCUAGGUUAUUGGUAGAUAGUUGCUAGGGUGUUCUAGGUAGUUGCAAAGCUUGGUUCAGCCAGGGUGUUCUAGAUGAAUUUUAGGCCAUUGCCUAGCAACCACAUAGAAUGCCGUAGCAAUCACCCAGAGCACCUUAGCAAUAAUUUUAUUUAAUUUUUUUUCAGAAAAUAUGGAAAUCUGGUUGAGACCUUCGCAAGUUGUACAAAUAGCAGCACUUAUGUUUGCCUGUUUCGCCGUAUAGUUUCCUUUGACAAUGAAGGCUACUGUAAUGGAAACCAUUUGACCUCAAAUUGGACCAUCCAGACAACCUUUACCAGAGCCGCCGAUUUACAUGACAUAAAAACAUCAACCUGGGCCGACAUAAAUCUCCAACACUCCGCUAUUCAGGCACAGAUUGGAAUGGAUAAUGAAUGCCGAGUCAUGAGCGUUUUCGAUCCUGGACUCGUGGGGCAGGAGUGUAUGCAGAUACACUGGGCCGAACCCGCCGUCUGGCUUCUGUUCUCAGCGUGAUUACUGAGAGUCUGAAUGCUGGGACAUGUCUGGAGUGGAAAGCAG